GAUGAGCCGAAGUCGGAUUAGCUAGUUGGUAGGGUAACGGCCUACCAAGGCGACAAUCCGUAGCUGGUCUGAGAGGACGACCAGCCACACUGGGACUGAGACACGGCCCAGACUCCUACGGGAGGCAGCAGUGGGGAAUAUUGGACAAUGGGGGCAACCCUGAUCCAGCGACGCCGCGUGUGUGAAGAAGGCCUGCGGGUUGUAAAGCACUUUUAGUGGGGAUGAAAAGCCUAGAGUUAAUACCUCUGGGUCUUGACCUAACCCACAGAAAAAGCACCGGCUAACUCUGUGCCAGCAGCCGCGGUAAUACAGAGGGUGCAAGCGUUAAUCGGAAUUACUGGGCGUAAAGCGUGCGUAGACGGUUGCGUAAGUCAGAUGUGAAAGCCCCGGGCUCAACCUGGGAAUUGCAUUUGAGACUGCGUAGCUAGGGUGCGGAAGAGGGAAGCGGAAUUUCCGGUGUAGCGGUGAAAUGCGUAGAUAUCGGAAGG
RNAcentral lists this ribosomal RNA (488 nucleotides) under uncultured Gammaproteobacteria bacterium. Its description in RNAcentral is "bacterial SSU rRNA". It matches the Rfam family "Bacterial small subunit ribosomal RNA", at positions 224 to 704 of the family's 1533-position model. The record is from RNAcentral. Lineage: Bacteria; Pseudomonadati; Pseudomonadota; Gammaproteobacteria.